RNAcentral lists this non-coding RNA (943 nucleotides) under Eumicrotremus asperrimus (Siberian lumpsucker). RNAcentral describes it as "12S rRNA". It matches the Rfam family "Bacterial small subunit ribosomal RNA". Lineage: Eukaryota; Metazoa; Chordata; Actinopteri; Perciformes; Cyclopteridae. The record is from RNAcentral.
CAAGGGCUUGGUCCUGACUUUACUAUCAACUUUAGACAAAUUUACACAUGCAAGUAUCCGCACUCCUGUGAGAAUGCCCUACAGUCCCCCGUCCGGGAACAAGGAACUGGUAUCAGGCACAUUCAUCGAGCCCAUGACACCUUGCUUAGCCACACCCUCAAGGGAACUCAGCAGUGAUAAACAUUAAGCUAUAAGUGAAAACUUGACUUAAUUAAAGCUAAGAGGGCCGGUAAAACUCGUGCCAGCCACCGCGGUUAUACGAGAGGCCCAAGUUGACAGACACCGGCGUAAAGAGUGGUUAAGCUUAAACUUAAACUAAAGCCAAACACCUUCAAGACUGUUAUACGUACCCGAAGGCAGGAGACUCAACCACGAAAGUAACUUUAUUUAAUCUGACCCCACGAAAGCUACGGCACAAACUGGGAUUAGAUACCCCACUAUGCCUAGCCCUAAACAUUGACAGUAUUCUACACACACUGUCCGCCAGGGAACUACGAGCAGCAGCUUAAAACCCAAAGGACUUGGCGGUGCUUUAGACCCCCCUAGAGGAGCCUGUUCUAGAACCGAUAGCCCCCGUUCAACCUCACCCUUCCUUGUUUUCCCCGCCUAUAUACCGCCGUCGUCAGCUUACCCUAUGAAGGACAAAUAGUAAGCAAAAUUGGUACAGCCUUAAACGUCAGGUCGAGGUGUAGCGUAUGGAGGGGGAAGAAAUGGGCUACAUUCGCUACCAUAGCGAAUACGAAAGACGCACUGAAACGCCCGUCUGAGGAGGAUUUAGCAGUAAGCAGGAAAUAGAGCGUCCCACUGAAACUGGCCCUGAAGCGCGCACACACCGCCCGUCACUCUCCCCAAAACCACAAUCCUGUUAAUUAAAACCUAAUAACCAACAAGGGGAGGCAAGUCGUAACAUGGUAAGUGUACCGGAAGGUGCACUUGGCACAAU